GUCUCGUUGGCGCAAUGGCUCAGCGCGCCAGACUUCUAAUCUGGAGGUUAUGAGGCAAGUUGCUAUUUCGAUGCUCACGACAAAUCGUUAACCCUACCUGUCCAGUUCGAAUCUCGUACGAGACU
Molecule: transfer RNA, 125 nt
Filed under: Mixia osmundae IAM 14324
Lineage: Eukaryota; Fungi; Basidiomycota; Mixiomycetes; Mixiales; Mixiaceae
Rfam family: tRNA
About the family: Transfer RNA (tRNA) molecules are approximately 80 nucleotides in length. Their secondary structure includes four short double-helical elements and three loops (D, anti-codon, and T loops). Further hydrogen bonds mediate the characteristic L-shaped molecular structure. tRNAs have two regions of fundamental functional importance: the anti-codon, which is responsible for specific mRNA codon recognition, and the 3' end, to which the tRNAs corresponding amino acid is attached (by aminoacyl-tRNA synthetases). tRNAs cope with the degeneracy of the genetic code in two manners: having more than one tRNA (with a specific anti-codon) for a particular amino acid; and 'wobble' base-pairing, i.e. permitting non-standard base-pairing at the 3rd anti-codon position.
Source: Rfam by way of RNAcentral